CAGGCUCUUUUGCAAGUGGCCAAGAACCUGUUCACUCACCUGGAUGACGUCUCGGUGCUGCUACAGGAGAUCAUCACGGAAGCCAGGAAUCUCAGCAAUGCUGAAAUAUGUUCGGUUUUCCUGCUGGACCGGAGCAGCCAUGAGUUGGUGGCCAAGGUCUUUGACGGAGGCGUGGUGGAUGACGAGAGCUAUGAAAUCCGGAUUCCGGCCGAUCAGGGCAUCGCCGGCCACGUGGCCACCACUGGCAAGAUCCUGAACAUCAAAGACGCCUAUUCUCACCCGCUCUUCUACCGCGGUGUGGAUGACAGCACUGGGUUUCGAACCAGGAACAUCCUCUGUUUCCCCAUCAAGGAUGAGAAUCA
Molecule: non-coding RNA, 362 nt
Organism: Thamnophis sirtalis
Lineage: Eukaryota; Metazoa; Chordata; Lepidosauria; Squamata; Natricidae
Source: RefSeq, a predicted model, not a curated record